UCCUCCAGAUAAAUCUGAGGCAAAAUCUACUGCAUUAGCUCUAAUAGAGUCCUUUGCAAGCUUGACCUAACCUGGUCAGGAUCUGUUCUGAUUGAAUUGUAAAGCCUGUUAUGUCUCUUGCUGUACAUUUCUCUUGCUGCUAAAGUCUUCAUGUUUAGUCGGAUAUACUAAUUCUUCCAAGAUCCUGGCCGUCUCAGCCCUACCAUCGGUCUACCCUUUGAGGUGUUUGGGAUUUAACAAAAAUGAACUACUUCUCUUGCCCAUGGAUUACCGGCAUGACAACAAGGCUCAUUAUUUUCAGAAGCUUGUGACUAUGUGGGAGAAUUUAUAUGUACUUCUGUGUGAUGAAGAAUUGGAUGCAGUCUCUUUGGAAGCUGUGCACCAACAAAAGAUGAAGAAUAGACAAGCCCACUCUUCAUCAGAGAGAGAACUAAAAUAAUGAAGACCAGAACUAGACAAGUUAUCAAGACGUACUAAUUCCUUAGUUGAUAAAGAACCUGCAUGAGACAGUGAUACAUCAGAGAGAGAAAAACUUUAAGCACUGAGAGGGGACAAACUGAUGGAUUCCAUGGUAAAGUUUCCUGACACAAUUCACCUCCAGAAACGUUAAUGUUACUUAGUAGAAAAAAAUAAAAAUCUCCAUGUUUAAAAAUAAAGAUUCAACUUAAACGACCCUAUUAAUCAUGAAGAAAAUUGUCUUUAAAAUGGAAGUGUAUUAACC
Pan troglodytes (chimpanzee) is the source of this 721-nucleotide long non-coding RNA. RefSeq lists it as uncharacterized. The record is from RefSeq and is a predicted model, not a curated record. NCBI's taxonomy places the organism in Eukaryota, Metazoa, Chordata, Mammalia, Primates, Hominidae. The transcript has 3 exons.